Molecule: ribosomal RNA, 741 nt
Filed under: Triticum aestivum (bread wheat)
Lineage: Eukaryota; Viridiplantae; Streptophyta; Magnoliopsida; Poales; Poaceae
Description: partial small subunit ribosomal RNA
Source: RNAcentral
AUGGUUCUCCUCGUCCCAUCCACACUCCCACGGGCACCCUACGGAGCAGCCGCGUCCACAUCGUCGCCGACGCCGUUAUCCAUUCACCCGCGCCCAAGGCGGCAUGCUCUCGCCGUCCCGCGCUGCUCCGCUCGCCGGACUCCGCCGCCCACCGACGCAGCCGCCGGCAGGGAGACCGCGGCUGCUGCUUCUUGGGCCGGCAAGCUAGCCGGCGCCGUGCCAUGGAAGGCGGCCGUCUCCGGCGCGCUCGCGCUCACCUUGUCCUUCUCCUGUUUUGUCGGUUUGGUCAAUGCCAAGGCUGGGGUCAACAAGCCCGAGUUGCUCCCCAAGGAGUUCACCACCGUCAUUGACGUCGCCGGUUUCCUCUCUUCAGGCCAGGAAAAUCGUUUACGUCAAGAGAUAGAAGACCUAGAGAAGGACACUGGAUAUAAGUUGAGAGUUCUCGCACAAAAUUAUCCAGAUACACCAGGAUUGGCUAUCAAGGAUUUUUGGCAAGUUGAUGACAGAACUAUUGUCUUCGUUGCAGAUCCCACCUUCGGUAACAUCAUAAAUUUCAACAUUGGUUCAUUGAUUGAUCUAGACAUUCCUCAGAGCUUCUGGAGUCGUGUUGCAGGGAAGUAUGGAAACAUGUUCUAUUGGAAAGAAAAGGGAGAGGAUGCAUCAAUUGAAGGCGCUGUGAUGGCAAUAUCGCGCUGUCUGAGAGAGCCCACAGGGGCAAGUAAUUGUUCGGAGGUAUUUUAG